AGAUUCAGUCUAUAAUUGUCCACCUUGCUGACUGGUUCUGUGCCAGUUUAACGCGAGCCCUUGCCUGGACAGCACGGCCAGUGCAAGCAAAAAGAGAAAUCAAAUAAAACAAUAAAUAAAGAACAAAAAGAUGUACUCUUUAAUUCAUUAAACCAGAAAAAACCCUUAAAACCACACAGACAACACAACGAGUUAGAUACGCACAACAACAACAUUUCGUUGCAAAAUCGCAUGCUAGAAAAUUUGAAAAUCUAAAAGCUAAACCAAAA
Drosophila rhopaloa is the source of this 269-nucleotide long non-coding RNA. RefSeq lists it as uncharacterized. Lineage: Eukaryota; Metazoa; Arthropoda; Insecta; Diptera; Drosophilidae. The record is from RefSeq and is a predicted model, not a curated record. The transcript is spliced from 3 exons.